GCCGGGGUGGCCGAGAGGUCUAAGGCGGCGGGCUGCAGUGGUUUCCGGCUAAUAUCCGCUCGUUGAGACCCGUUAAUUCCCGGGUUCGAAUCCCGGCCCCGGCU
Molecule: transfer RNA, 104 nt
Filed under: Ignisphaera aggregans DSM 17230
Lineage: Archaea; Thermoproteati; Thermoproteota; Thermoprotei; Desulfurococcales; Desulfurococcaceae
Rfam family: tRNA
About the family: Transfer RNA (tRNA) molecules are approximately 80 nucleotides in length.
Source: Rfam by way of RNAcentral